RNAcentral lists this transfer RNA (71 nucleotides) under Microcaldota archaeon. RNAcentral describes it as "tRNA-Val". It matches the Rfam family "tRNA". From Rfam's summary of the family: Transfer RNA (tRNA) molecules are approximately 80 nucleotides in length. Their secondary structure includes four short double-helical elements and three loops (D, anti-codon, and T loops). Further hydrogen bonds mediate the characteristic L-shaped molecular structure. tRNAs have two regions of fundamental functional importance: the anti-codon, which is responsible for specific mRNA codon recognition, and the 3' end, to which the tRNAs corresponding amino acid is attached (by aminoacyl-tRNA synthetases). tRNAs cope with the degeneracy of the genetic code in two manners: having more than one tRNA (with a specific anti-codon) for a particular amino acid; and 'wobble' base-pairing, i.e. permitting non-standard base-pairing at the 3rd anti-codon position. Lineage: Archaea; Nanobdellati; Microcaldota. The record is from RNAcentral.
GGACCCGUGGUCCAGUGGUAAGACGUCACCUUCACACGGUGAAGACAGGAGUCCGAUUCUCCUCGGGUCCA